UACAGAGGGUGCGAGCGUUAAUCGGAAUUACUGGGCGUAAAGCGCACGUAGGUGGCUUUGCAAGUCGGAUGUGAAAUCCCCGGGCUUAACCUGGGAACUGCAUUCGAGACUGCUCUGCUAGAGUAUGGGAGAGGGAAGUGGAAUUUCCGGUGUAGCGGUGAAAUGCGUAGAUAUCGGAAGGAACAUCAGUGGCGAAGGCGACUCCCUGGACCAAUACUGACACUCAAGUGCGAAAGCGUGGGGAGCAAACAGG
This 253-nucleotide ribosomal RNA is filed under the name uncultured bacterium. RNAcentral describes it as "partial 16S ribosomal RNA". It matches the Rfam family "Bacterial small subunit ribosomal RNA", at positions 524 to 776 of the family's 1533-position model. The record is from RNAcentral.